CGGCAUGCCUUACACAUGCAAGUCGAACGGCAGCGGGGGAAAGCUUGCUUUCCUGCCGGCGAGUGGCGAACGGGUGAGUAAUACAUCGGAACGUGCCCUGUAGUGGGGGAUAACUAGUCGAAAGAUUAGCUAAUACCGCAUACGACCUGAGGGUGAAAGUGGGGGACCGCAAGGCCUCAUGCUAUAGGAGCGGCCGAUGUCUGAUUAGCUAGUUGGUGGGGUAAAGGCCUACCAAGGCGACGAUCAGUAGCUGGUCUGAGAGGACGAUCAGCCACACUGGGACUGAGACACGGCCCAGACUCCUACGGGAGGCAGCAGUGGGGAAUUUUGGACAAUGGGCGAAAGCCUGAUCCAGCAAUGCCGCGUGUGUGAAGAAGGCCUUCGGGUUGUAAAGCACUUUUGUCCGGAAAGAAAUGGCUCUGGUUAAUACCCGGAGUUGAUGACGGUACCGGAAGAAUAAGGACCGGCUAACUACGUGCCAGCAGCCGCGGUAAUACGUAGGGUCCAAGCGUUAAUC
RNAcentral lists this ribosomal RNA (517 nucleotides) under Ralstonia pickettii. RNAcentral describes it as "bacterial SSU rRNA". It matches the Rfam family "Bacterial small subunit ribosomal RNA", at positions 40 to 546 of the family's 1533-position model. The record is from RNAcentral. Lineage: Bacteria; Pseudomonadati; Pseudomonadota; Betaproteobacteria; Burkholderiales; Burkholderiaceae.